RNAcentral lists this long non-coding RNA (239 nucleotides) under Homo sapiens (human). RNAcentral's name for it is "non-protein coding lnc-GPATCH2L-1:5". Lineage: Eukaryota; Metazoa; Chordata; Mammalia; Primates; Hominidae. The record is from RNAcentral.
UAUGAUCUUUCGGUGUCUAUCUGCACUUUCUUUGACCUGCCAGACACCACGAUGCCAAAUGCGGGCUGCUCAUCAAAGACUCCAUUGAGAGCUGGUCGCUGUGUGGGGAAAGCAGCAGUGUUGGCUCCGAACCUGACCUGAGGAGGCAUGGCUACCGUCAGUUCUGUUGUGACAGCCCUUGACAGCAGGUGUCUGUCAUCUCCCCCAUUCUAUCCCCUCCAACCACCCCAACGUUUUUU